Molecule: long non-coding RNA, 282 nt
Organism: Pundamilia nyererei
Lineage: Eukaryota; Metazoa; Chordata; Actinopteri; Cichliformes; Cichlidae
Exons: 3
Source: RefSeq, a predicted model, not a curated record
CAAAGCCUCCAACAAAGCUCUGCUUAGUGUUCCUAACCUCUCAGAGACAGGAUGUGAAGGCGUGUCCUCAGUUCUGAGAUCCCAGUACUCCAGUCUGAGAGAGCUGGACCUGAGUAUUAACAGCCUGGAGGAUUCAGGAUUUAAGAUUUUUUCUACUGCAUUGGAGAGUCCACAUUGUAGACUGGAAACGCUCAGAUUGAAUAUUUGCAACCUCUCAGAGAGAAGCUAUGACACUCUGUCUUCAAUUCUCAGCUCCCAGUCUUCUAGUUUAAAAGAAUUGGA